Molecule: ribosomal RNA, 657 nt
Filed under: uncultured bacterium
Lineage: Bacteria
Description: bacterial SSU rRNA
Rfam family: Bacterial small subunit ribosomal RNA
Source: RNAcentral
GAGUUUGAUCCUGGCUCAGGAUGAACGCUGGCGGCGUGCCUAACACAUGCAAGUCGAACGGGGUAUAUAAGCGGAAGUUUACGGAUGGAAGGUUAUAUACUUAGUGGCGGACGGGUGAGUAACGCGUGGGCAACCUGCCCCGUGCCGGGGGAUACCGCCUGGAAACAGGCGCUAAUACCGCAUAAGCGCAUACAGCCGCAUGGGUGUAUGCGGAAAGCUCCGGCGGCACGGGAUGGGCCCGCGCCCGAUUAGCCAGUUGGCGGGGUAACGGCCCACCAAAGCGACGAUCGGUAGCCGGCCUGAGAGGGCGGACGGCCACAUUGGGACUGAGACACGGCCCAAACUCCUACGGGAGGCAGCAGUGGGGAAUAUUGCACAAUGGGGGAAACCCUGAUGCAGCAACGCCGCGUGGGUGAAGGAGCGUUUCGGCGCGUAAAGCCCUGUCAGCGGGGAAGAAGAAAGACGGUACCCGACCAAGAAGCCCCGGCUAACUACGUGCCAGCAGCCGCGGUAAUACGUAGGGGGCGAGCGUUAUCCGGAAUUACUGGGUGUAAGGGAGCGUAGACGGCGAGGUAAGCCUGAAGUGGAAGCCCGCGGCCCAACCGCGGAACUGCUUUGGGAACUGUUUUGCUGGAGUAUGGGAGGGGUAAGCGGAAU